CAUUGGCCAAAUAGGAGAUAGACAAUGUCGUCGUUCUUUUUGGCGCCGCCCUGUGGCGAAAUUUUCCAAAGACAAUUUUCCUUUGCCAAAUAACUCCCGCCCACAUUAAUAAUUCUUGGCCAUAUUUUCUACAUAGACUCGGGUUUGCCCCUUGAUGGUUUCCCUUGAGUUUGAAGAACAUUCCUUUGGCCAAUUAGAAGAUAUACAAUUUCCUCGUUUAUUGCGCCCCCUAAUGGCGAAAUUUUCCGAAAUUUUUUUCGAACGACAGUAAGGUUAGCACCAACAUGUGUGUAAAAUGUGGACUCGAUCCGAUGUCUAAUUUUGGAUUUCUUUGGAUUUUUGAUAUUCCACGUCUAAUUUAGCUCAUAAACCAAUAUUCAAAACGCUACCGUUUCGUUAUCGAAGGACGGAUCAAAAAAGUGUUUUCAUGCAUUAUUUGCGUGUGCGUCUGAAGAUGUCGUGUGCAAAGUUUGGUGUCGAUUGGUCAAGAAAUGUGGGAGGAGUAGGGAAAGUUAAGAAAUGUGGGAGGAGUAGCGAAAAUACAGUUUUGCGGUUUUCGCGAUUUAGCGAAAAAAAAUUCUAGACGCAAAUGGGCGUGGCCUAGGCCAAAAGAUGCAGCAGACUCCAGUGCAUCUGUGUGUACAAGUUUUUGGACUCUGGGAGGUUCGGUGUGGGAGUUAUAGCCCCAAACGCGUAUUCCUUGGUAUAGCGCCACCUAGUGGCCGGCAUGUCUGGAUUUGGUCGUCUGCAUAGUCUUCACGUACCUGGAUCUAGUCAUGUAAUUGGCGUGCGUGCACCAUUUACGGUUUGGGCUGUAGUACCACUUUCUUGGUAGGAAGUAUAAGAACUAGAACUGCAAGCAGUUAUGCAGGGGUCCAAGAAGUGUGCAUUUCGCCGGCACAACGCGACAAGAAAUGUGCAUUUCACCGGCACAACGCGAAGCAAGUAUUGAAAACGCUACCGUGAACAACAUGUGGAUAUAAAGGUUUUGACUGUGGGAGCUUCGGUGUGGGAGUUAUAGCCUAAAACGCGUUUUCAGAACAUUGGCCAAAUAGGAGAUCGACAAUGUCGUCGUUUUUUGGCGCCGCCCUGUGGCGACAUUUUCCAAAGACAAUUUUCCUUUGCCAAAUAACUCCCGCCCACAUUAAUAAUUCUUGGCCAUAUUUUCUAUAUAGACUCGGGUUUGCCCCUUGAUGGUUCCCUUAUAGUCUGAAGAACAUUCCUUGGGCCAAUUAGAAGAUAUACAAUUUCCUCGUUUAUAGCGCCCCCUAAUGGCGAAAAAUUCCGUUAUUUUUAUUGAACGCCAUUAAGGGUAACACCGACAUGUGUCUAAAAUGUGGGCUUGAUCCGAUGUCUAAUUUUGGUAUUUUUUGAAUUUUUGCGUUUCGACGUAAAACGUAGCUAAUAAACCAAUGUUCAAAACGCUACCGUUUCGUCGUCGAAAGUCGGAUCAAAAAACUGUCUGAGGGUUU
RNAcentral lists this long non-coding RNA (1472 nucleotides) under Gadus morhua (Atlantic cod). RNAcentral's name for it is "lncRNA (ENSGMOG00000028636.1)". Lineage: Eukaryota; Metazoa; Chordata; Actinopteri; Gadiformes; Gadidae. The record is from RNAcentral.